UGGCUUAUGAGAUUUUGGGUCCGGUGACCCCACCCGAAAGGCGCUCUUUCGAGGCUGUUGUGAGACACGGGCGGCGUAUCAACCAGGUUUUUGAUUUUCUUGACAUCGUCGUGCCACCUCAUCCCGAGGUUAUGGGCAAGAGGCGCCAUCGGGGUGCCGGUGCUGAGCAGAGGAAGAAGGUGAAAUUCGAUUCUGCUCGCAUGACAAAACCUGCUGUUGAGUCACA
This 226-nucleotide long non-coding RNA is filed under the name Setaria italica (foxtail millet). RNAcentral's name for it is "long non-coding RNA (SITA_LNC000409)". Lineage: Eukaryota; Viridiplantae; Streptophyta; Magnoliopsida; Poales; Poaceae. The record is from RNAcentral.